Molecule: ribosomal RNA, 216 nt
Filed under: Glomeromycotina sp.
Lineage: Eukaryota; Fungi; Glomeromycota
Description: partial small subunit ribosomal RNA
Rfam family: Eukaryotic small subunit ribosomal RNA (bases 40-216)
Source: RNAcentral
GGGUCAGUAGGUUGGUCGUGCCACCGGUACGUACUGGUCUCACUGAUUCCUCCUUCCUGAAGAACCGUAAUGCCAUUAAUUUGGUGUUGCGGGGAAACAGGACUGUUACUUUGAAAAAAUUAGAGUGUUUAAAGCAAGCUAACGCUUGAAUACAUUAGCUUGGAAUAAUGAAAUAGGACGAUCGAUCCUAUUUUGUUGGUUUCCAGGAUUGACGUA